This 139-nucleotide ribosomal RNA is filed under the name uncultured eukaryote. RNAcentral describes it as "partial small subunit ribosomal RNA". It matches the Rfam family "Eukaryotic small subunit ribosomal RNA", at positions 1296 to 1460 of the family's 1831-position model. The record is from RNAcentral.
AGUUGGUGGAGUGAUUUGUCUGGUUAAUUCCGUUAACGAACGAGACCUUAACUGUCUAAAUAGGACUUGGAAAUGUUUUUCUUGUGCUUCUUAGAGGGACUGUAUGUUUGAGCGUAAUGAGGUUUGAGGCAAUAACAGG